GUGAGUAACGCGUGAGCAACCUGCCUAUGACAGUGGGAUAGCCUCGGGAAACCGGGAUUAAUACCGCAUGAAAUCGUAGAAACACAUGUUUUAACGGUCAAAGAUUUAUCGGUCAUAGAUGGGCUCGCGUCUGAUUAGCUAGUUGGUGAGAUAACAGCCCACCAAGGCGACGAUCAGUAGCCGGUCUGAGAGGAUGAACGGCCACAUUGGAACUGAGACACGGUCCAA
This 228-nucleotide ribosomal RNA is filed under the name uncultured Eubacteriales bacterium. RNAcentral describes it as "uncultured Clostridiales bacterium partial 16S ribosomal RNA". It matches the Rfam family "Bacterial small subunit ribosomal RNA", at positions 106 to 334 of the family's 1533-position model. The record is from RNAcentral. Lineage: Bacteria; Bacillati; Bacillota; Clostridia; Eubacteriales.